UGGGGAAUUUUGGGCAAUGGGCGCAAGCCUGACCCAGCAACGCCGCGUGGAGGAAGAAGGUCUUCGGAUUGUAAACUCCUGUCCUUGGGGAAGAAGAAAGUGACGGUACCCGAGGAGGAAGCCCCGGCUAACUCCGUGCCAGCAGCCGCGGUAAUACGGGGGGGGCAAGCGUUGUUCGGAAUCACUGGGCGUAAAGGGCGCGCAGGCGGCUUGGGAAGUUUUGGGUGAAAGCCCCCGGCUCAACCGGGGAAGGUCCUGAGAAACCACCGAGCUGGAGUGCUGGAGAGGGAAGCGGAAUUCCCGGUGUAGCGGUGAAAUGCGUAGAUAUCGGGAGGAAGACCGGAGGCGAAGGCGGCUUCCUGGACAGACACUGACGCUGAGGCGCGAAAGCUAGGGGAGCAAACGGG
Molecule: ribosomal RNA, 407 nt
Filed under: uncultured bacterium
Lineage: Bacteria
Description: bacterial SSU rRNA
Rfam family: Bacterial small subunit ribosomal RNA
Source: RNAcentral